CUAGCUGUAAACGAUGGAUACUAGGCGUUGAGAGUAUCGACCCUCUCAGUGUCGUAGCUAACGCGUUAAGUAUCCCGCCUGGGGAGUACGCGCGCAAGCGUGAAACUCAAAGGAAUUGACGGGGGCCCGCACAAGCGGUGGAGUAUGUGGUUUAAUUCGAUGCAACGCGAAAAACCUUACCAGGGCUUGACAUGUCCGGAACCCUGCCCAAAGGCGGGGGUGCCUACGGGAACCGGAACACAGGUGGUGC
This 250-nucleotide ribosomal RNA is filed under the name uncultured Chroococcidiopsis sp. Its description in RNAcentral is "partial 16S ribosomal RNA". It matches the Rfam family "Bacterial small subunit ribosomal RNA", at positions 796 to 1044 of the family's 1533-position model. The record is from RNAcentral. Lineage: Bacteria; Bacillati; Cyanobacteriota; Cyanophyceae; Chroococcidiopsidales; Chroococcidiopsidaceae.